CAAGCCGGUGAGCAUAAGUACAUCGGCAAGAGUGGGUGAAGCAGGGCCACGACCGAAUACAAAAGCAUUGAGCGUGUCUGACCAAAAAUACGAGGCAGUUAUCAGCAGUGACUCGUUUCUCUCCAUAUCGGCAAGAGAUAAUCUGAUACACUGGUCUAAUUUUCGCUCACCCCACUGAACUUCAUUUGAAUGGCUGACUCACAGGAAUCAGUCUUUCCAUCCCUUGGUAGGACUGGGCCACGAACGAAAGGCAUCUUUCCACAGAUCUAAGGAAAAGUUUUCGGCUCUGAAGGGAAUUCUAUUUGUCUCUGCAUUUAUUAGAUCGGUGGGAUCUGGAUUUCCUAACGGGCUGAGACACUGGAAGUGAGGUUGAUCGGUAGGAAUUACAAUCUUAUCGGGCAAAUCCUAAAAGUUUUGAAGAUGAAAGAACAAAAAGAAAAAAAAGGUAUUCAGUAAAAGGAAUUGCGGAUGAACAAGAGUACAGAAAAAGUGCGAAAAGAAGAAGGAGGGUAGACUGACCUCAGGAACGAUGAAGUUGAUGGCCAUUUCCUCGCGAAGAAGAAGUUCAAAGAUUUGGAGGAUUGGUGAAGGAGGCUCUUGCUGAAGUUCUUGGAGUUCUCGGGUAAUGCCGCUGCUGGGAAAGUAGAUUUUGGGCUAUAGAACGAUAAGAUGGAGAAGGAGUACCGGAGAAGGAAGUAUUUAUAGGACAAAACGGGCAGGGGCAAAUCUGACUUAUCUCUUUGCCGCAUCCGUGAAAUCCGAGGGUGUUCAGGUGGAUAUGGUAACUGUUCGCACGGUAAUCAAGGGAUUGCGCAGGUGAUUUGACAGCAAGCGGUCAUGAUUUUGAAGAUAUUUCACU
This 859-nucleotide long non-coding RNA is filed under the name Sorghum bicolor (sorghum). RNAcentral describes it as "long non-coding RNA (SBIC_LNC017528)". Lineage: Eukaryota; Viridiplantae; Streptophyta; Magnoliopsida; Poales; Poaceae. The record is from RNAcentral.